ACCUUCGGUGCCCGAGUUGUAAUUUGUAGAAGGUAACUUUGGGGCUGGUCCUUGUCUAUGUUCCUUGGAACAGGACGUCAUAGAGGGUGAGAAUCCCGUGUGGCGAGGAUCCCAGUUCUAUGUAAAGUGCUUUCGAAGAGUCGAGUUGUUUGGGAAUGCAGCUCUAAGUGGGUGGUAAAUUCCAUCUAAAGCUAAAUAUUGGCGAGAGACCGAUAGCGAACAAGUACAGUGAUGGAAAGAUGAAAAGAACUUUGAAAAGAGAGUGAAAAAGUACGUGAAAUUGUUGAAAGGGAAGGGCAUUUGAUCAGACAUGGUGUUUUGCGCCCUCUGCUCCUCGUGGGUGGGGGAAUCUCGCAGCUCACUGGGCCAGCAUCAGUUUUGGCGGUAGGAUAAAUCUGCAGGAAUGUAGCUUGCUUCGGCAAGUGUUAUAGCCUGUUGAAAUACUGCCAGCCGGGACUGAGGACUGCGACUUUUAGUCAAGGAUGCUGGCAUAAUGGUUAUAUGCCGC
RNAcentral lists this ribosomal RNA (508 nucleotides) under Torulaspora globosa. RNAcentral describes it as "eukaryotic LSU rRNA". It matches the Rfam family "Eukaryotic large subunit ribosomal RNA", at positions 127 to 648 of the family's 3401-position model. The record is from RNAcentral. Lineage: Eukaryota; Fungi; Ascomycota; Saccharomycetes; Saccharomycetales; Saccharomycetaceae.